RNAcentral lists this long non-coding RNA (357 nucleotides) under Daucus carota (carrot). Its description in RNAcentral is "long non-coding RNA (DCAR_LNC000876)". The record is from RNAcentral. Lineage: Eukaryota; Viridiplantae; Streptophyta; Magnoliopsida; Apiales; Apiaceae.
CAUUUAUACAACACGAGAUUGAGAAGAAUUGUAAAUUAGCCGAAGUCAUACCUGACCCAACUGAAACAUGUGCAGUUCCGCCUCAGAAGAUAGUAAGGAAACAUCCUGCUGCAGGCUCAGAUCUGGGCCUGAAAGCUCAACCUCGACAGAGCAAAAGGAAACUUCGACGUACUGAACCGCCAGUAGAAACCUCCUCAAAUGUUCCGCCUCCUGCUUUUCACUCAGCGGCAAAUGUUAUCACCUGAGAGGAGACCUAUAUGCAGAAAAUGAUCAUGCAUUUUGUAUUCAAUUUGUAGAAUACACUAUAUGGCUGACUUGGUUUCUGUUUGUCUUGUAUAGUAUUUGUUUGGUGUCAAG